UGCAGUCUUACACUUGACUCGCUCUUCUUGACGCUGAACUUCAUCGACUUGGCCACCUCUUCCAGUCUCGAUAUUACACUGCUCGCUGGCCUUGUUGUAGCGAAUCUUAGCUCCUCUUUCUCUUCUCUCUUCUUCUCUUCAAACAACGGUGACAAAUCGAAGCCCUCGGAUAAGGAAAUGAUAUGGAAAGCGUUCAGAGUCUCAGGCUUGGAUGAUUUCUCGCCAUUGAAGGCUUCAAAUUCUAGCUCCUCCUUGGUUCUAAUAGUCUUGGGUAUUGAUUUCUUGAACCAAGACGAGUCCAUCACCUUUGAAGUGGUGAUUCGGGUAUUUGGGUUGGGAUCUAAAAGCUUAGUAAUUAAUCUACGAGCUUCAGGGGAAAA
RNAcentral lists this long non-coding RNA (380 nucleotides) under Gossypium barbadense (sea-island cotton). RNAcentral describes it as "long non-coding RNA (GBAR_LNC015948)". Lineage: Eukaryota; Viridiplantae; Streptophyta; Magnoliopsida; Malvales; Malvaceae. The record is from RNAcentral.